UACGUAUGGGGCAAGCGUUAUCCGGAUUUACUGGGUGUAAAGGGGGCGUAGGCGGCCUGGCAAGCCUGAUGUGAAAUACCGGGGCCCAACCCCGGGGCUGCAUUGGGAACUGCCAGGCUGGAGUGCCGGAGAGGCAGGCGGAAUUCCUAGUGUAGCGGUGAAAUGCGUAGAUAUUAGGAGGAACACCAGUGGCGAAGGCGGCCUGCUGGACGGUGACUGACGCUGAGGCUCGAAAGCGUGGGGAGCAAACAGG
This 253-nucleotide ribosomal RNA is filed under the name uncultured bacterium. RNAcentral's name for it is "partial 16S ribosomal RNA". It matches the Rfam family "Bacterial small subunit ribosomal RNA", at positions 524 to 776 of the family's 1533-position model. The record is from RNAcentral.